This 344-nucleotide ribosomal RNA is filed under the name uncultured Verrucomicrobiota bacterium. RNAcentral's name for it is "bacterial SSU rRNA". It matches the Rfam family "Bacterial small subunit ribosomal RNA", at positions 29 to 351 of the family's 1533-position model. The record is from RNAcentral. Lineage: Bacteria; Pseudomonadati; Verrucomicrobiota.
AACGAACGCUGGCGGCGUGGAUAAGACAUGCAAGUGGAACGCUGUAAACUGGGUAGCAAUAUUUAGUUUGCAGAGUCGCGUAAGGGUGCUUAACACGUGGGCAAUUUGCCGUGAAUUUGAAGAUAACCUGUCGAAAGACAAGCUAAUACUCAAUAGUAUGAAUCUGUGGCAUCACAGAAUCAUUAAAGCCGGGGACCGCAAGGCCUGGUGAUUCGCGAUAAGCCCGCGGCCUAUCAGCUAGUUGGUAAGGUAACGGCUUACCAAGGCUACGACGGGUAGCUGGUCUUAGAGGACGACCAGCCACACUGGAACUGAGAUACGGUCCAGACACCUACGGGUGGCAG